GCUAGCAUGGUGUAGUGGUUUGAGUGUUGGACUAUGACUCUGGAGGCCAGGGUUCUAUUCCCAGCUCAACCA
Molecule: non-coding RNA, 72 nt
Organism: Phrynosoma platyrhinos (Desert horned lizard)
Lineage: Eukaryota; Metazoa; Chordata; Lepidosauria; Squamata; Phrynosomatidae
Source: the annotation of a GenBank genome assembly